GCUUUUCUUGGCGAAGCGAGGAAGCACAGUUGCGCGCCUCUCCAUAGCCCCUCUAUACUCUAUAGGCUAUUAGUACCCAGCGCAAGCGCCUGAUUUGGAAGCUUGCUGUGUAAUUUCAUAAAGAAAGAAAAGUGUGUGAACCUCAGCGAAUCCGGAUUUCAAACUAGCCUCCUGGACUGAACCGACCUUUUUAAUAGGUUAUAACUAUCAAUAAAGUAGGAAUGGUAAAGAAAGAGAUGCACUUUCUGGACACAGGAUCCAGAGUUUUUUCGAGAAAGGGUCCCUUCCCUCAAUAUCAUGAUCGGGUCGACCAGGCCAGAUCAUGAGUGAAUAGAAAAUCGAAAAUUUCAAUAGCUGUUGCUGUUCCAGCCAUUUUUUUUAACCACUU
RNAcentral lists this long non-coding RNA (388 nucleotides) under Olea europaea (common olive). RNAcentral's name for it is "long non-coding RNA (OEUR_LNC013236)". The record is from RNAcentral. Lineage: Eukaryota; Viridiplantae; Streptophyta; Magnoliopsida; Lamiales; Oleaceae.